Molecule: ribosomal RNA, 497 nt
Filed under: uncultured bacterium
Lineage: Bacteria
Description: partial 16S ribosomal RNA
Rfam family: Bacterial small subunit ribosomal RNA
Source: RNAcentral
GAUGAACGCUGGCGGCGUGCCUAAUACAUGCAAGUCGAGCGAACAGACGAGGCGCUUGCUUCGCUGACGUUAGCGGCGGACGGGUGAGUAACACGUGGAUCACCUCCCUAUAAGACUGGGAUCACUUCGGAACACCGGAGCUAAUCCCGUAUAAUCUCUUGAACCACAUGGUUCAAUAGUGAAAGACGGUGUUGCUGUCACUUAUAGCUGGAUCUCCGCUUCAUUAGCUAGUUGGUAAGGUAACGGCGUACCAGGGCAACGAGGCGUAGACGACGGGAGAGAGGGGUAGCCGACACGGGAACGUGGACACGGUCCAGGCUCCUAAGGUAGGCAGCAGUAGGGUAUCGGACGCAAUGGGGGAAAGCCUGACGGAGCAAGGGGGCGUGAGAGAUGGAGGUCUUGGGAGCGUAAAACUCUGUUAUGAGGGAAGAACAGAUGUGUAAGUAAAUGUGCAGUGCUUGACGGUAACGAGUCAGAAAGCAACGGCUAACUACGUG